CUUGAUCAAGCUCAGAUCAAGGGAAGAGAAAGUGUUAGAAUCAACAUCAAUCAUAGGGUUUGUGGGGUUGUAUUGCUACAUUUCUCUUGUAAAACGACAAUUGCAAAGGUUAAUUUUCAUUAUCUCAAUUCGAGUUUAAAUUGAGGGCAUACGUGCCCAUAACGAGGCCGAUUGAGGAACAGCCUAAAAAAAUCCUUAUGUACUUUUUCUCUCUUUCUCUCUUU
Molecule: long non-coding RNA, 224 nt
Filed under: Lathyrus oleraceus (garden pea)
Lineage: Eukaryota; Viridiplantae; Streptophyta; Magnoliopsida; Fabales; Fabaceae
Description: Pisum sativum (pea) long non-coding RNA (PSAT_LNC010450)
Source: RNAcentral